Molecule: ribosomal RNA, 576 nt
Filed under: uncultured Glomus
Lineage: Eukaryota; Fungi; Glomeromycota; Glomeromycetes; Glomerales; Glomeraceae
Description: eukaryotic LSU rRNA
Rfam family: Eukaryotic large subunit ribosomal RNA
Source: RNAcentral
CAUGGAGGGUGAGAAUCCCGUUCGGUUGACCUUAUGACGCUCUACGAUACGCUCUCUAAGAGUCGAGUUGUUUGGGAUUGCAGCUCAAAAUGGGAGGUAAAUUUCUCCUAAGGCUAAAUAUCGGCGAGAGACCGAUAGCGAACAAGUACCGUGAGGGAAAGAUGAAAAGAACUUUGAAAAGAGAGUAAAAUAGUACGUGAAAUUGUUGAAAGGGAAACGAUUGAAGUCAGUCGUACCGACGAGAAAUCAACUUAUCGUGUGCGAACUUGUGGGCGUGCGUGAGUUUCGGCCUCGCUGUUUGCAUGUUUGUGCGUUUUGGGUGUACUUUUUCGUAUGGUAGGCCAACGUCAGUUUCGAUUAUCAUAAAAUGACCGGCGGAAUGUAGCUUCGAUUUCGGUUGAAGUGUUAUAGCCUCUGGUAGAUGUGGUGAUUGAGACUGAGGAUUGCAACGAAUACCCUUUGGGCUAUCCGUCUGGCCUCUGAAAGUUGCUCAGGUGCCGAAAGCGUGCUUACGGUCAUCUAAGAUAACGUUCAACAGGUUAGAACGUGAUUACAUUCGUUAAGGAUGUUGACGUA